CCUCGCUUCCACACUGCAGCCUCUCCCCUGGCCCAGGCACUCACCCUCGCAUAUCUUCCUACCGCCUUCGCGUAUCGCUCCCUCUCUCACUCUCUGGUAGCCGCUCCUAUACAGCCGCCACCACCACCCUUACCUCCUCACUCUCUCUCGUGAACCAUGUCCGCUGGUGGCGCUGAGUUCAAGGCCGAGAUGCGUGCCGGCAAGCCGAAGUUCGGCAUCUUCCUGAACUCCGCCAGCCCGCUGCUGGCGGGCCAGUUCAGCCACUCCGGCUACGACUGGCUGCUGAUCGACGCUCAGCACUCGCCGGUGGACCCGCUGACGAUGGCGCACAUGAUCGCUGCCAUCCGCACGGGUCACUCCAAGGUCAUGGUGCGCGUGGCAAGCACACAGGACCGCGCUGGCAUCCAGUGCGCUCUGGACAACGGCGCCGAUGGCGUGCUGAUCCCGUAUGUGAACAAUGCGCAGGAGCUGCAGGAGGCCGUGUCCUGCUGCUAUUACCCGACGACUGGCACGCGCUCCGUGUACCAGCCGCAGCAGUGCAUGAACGCGAAGGGCCUACUCGGCUACGUGCCGGAGUCGAAUAAGAACGUGGUGGUCGCCUUCCAAGUGGAGACGGCGGCGUGCAUUGAGAACCUGGAGGAAAUCAUGGCCGUGAAGGGCAUCGACAUCGCCUUCCUUGGCCAGAACGACCUCUGCAUGUCCAUGGGCCUGUACGACGGCCGCUACGUGUUCCCGCAGAUGUACUUCUCGCCGGAGCUGCAGGCUGCCACGGACAAGCUCAUCACGACGGCCAAGAAGCACGACGUCAUUCUGGGCCUGUUUCUGUUCGGCACGGACCGCGUAGGUGAGUUCCUGGAGAAGGGCUUCACCUUCAUCAGCAUCGGCAGCGAGCUGCACCACGCCAUGGUGCAGGCCGGCACCUGGGUGAAGGCGCUGAAGAAUAUAUCGGAGGAAAAAGGCAAGUCGUGGACGAACCAGCCCAGCGCCCUCGUGUAAGCGGGAGCAACAGCGGCCGCCGGUCGAGAUAGUAGAGGGGGAGGGGCGCGAGAGUGCGCUGGCACAGACACACACCGGCGCACAUCGGCGCUGCUGCCGAGCCACCCACACCCCUCCCCCGUCUCCUCUGUCUCUCUCUUCUCUUCCUCGACUUUGUUCUCCGUUCGUUUAUGAUUCUUUUGUUUUCUAUUCUCUGGCAGCUGCGGUCGGCCCCGGUGGCGCUGUUGACAACGGGCGCACGCACCGUAACGUGGUACACGACGCACAGGAGCUCUAAGAGCAAGGGGGCGGGUAAGCGGGCUGUCGGUCCUCCUGCGCGGAGGCCCGAUGUUGGCGCAGCAGCGGCCGCGGUGAAGGAGAGGGAGUGUUGACAUCCCUUGUUGUGCGCGUGUGGUGAGUGGGGAGUGGGCGGAUGUGCGAAGAGAUAGUGAGCAGCACGCGUAAAUGUGUGCGCUCCCACACGCUCCCUACACACACACACACAUACGCAGACACACCGCGUCCCUGCUACCUGCGCGGGGUUCUUCUACUUUUUCCUACGCGCUAGCCUCGCUGUCUACCCGCUACUUUCUCCUCCUGCUGUGAGCACGCCCCUUUAAACCUACUACCACGCUCACUCGCACACGUACCCAAUCACACGCACGCACAGGCGCAGGCCCGCACGCUCAUCGCCUGCUCGCUUGUGGCUGUCCAGCCAUCCUCCGACCACGUGUGCACACACUCGAACAGCUCAGUGACCGCCGUCUUGCGGACGUCGAUAACGCCUCUCUUUUUCUCCCUUGAACAACAGCCACAGCAGUCGCCUGCUCCUUGCACGUGUGUGGCAUCGAUACCGUGGGAGGACGAAGAGCUGGCCGGUGAAGUGCCUGUGUGCGUGUGUGCUUGUCCGAACCCCCUUCCCCGUGUUGCCCUUUUACAACGCUCCGAAGAGGUAUGGACAGGCACGGUAUGUGUAACGCAGACGUGUGCGUGUGUGUACGUGUAUGUAUAUGUGUUACUGGUAAGGCACAACUCGACGACGUUGGAGCUACUGGAGGCUCAUGCUUUCCACGCAGGGACGGUGAUGCGUCGCUGCAGUGCCGUGCGAUGAGUUGACGGCACGCCUGCCGCUGGUGUCGCGGUGGCGCGGAUGGAACAGGUUGUGGAGUAGCGCAUGCGCUGCGGUUCGCCGCUGCACCAAGUGCUGCGUGUGUAGUAGUCGUGAGCGAACGAGGGAGAGGGAGUGCACAGCUGUUGCAGUUGUGCAGUGGGGUGAGGUGGUCUGUGCUUGCUAUGAAUGGUGCGUGCUUGCGCGUACCUCCACCUCUCCCACCCCGCGUAUCCCUCGUUUCUUACGUGGUCUGUGACACACAAACACGUGUUCGAGACACUCACAUGCACCACAUGGUCGGCGUGCACCUCUUUCUGUGAAAGAGGGUCGCUUGACUUUUCGUACUCGCUACCAUCAGUGGCCCCCUUGCAUGCCUGCGCACGUACGUACUCCUUCUCUAUCUCCCUCCAACGCUCUCCAACUCCCCACACGGGUAAG
RNAcentral lists this unclassified non-coding RNA (2524 nucleotides) under Leishmania donovani. RNAcentral's name for it is "gene:LdHU3.25.2560(CDS-product:24-dihydroxyhept-2 -ene-17-dioic_acid_aldolase_putative)". The record is from RNAcentral. Lineage: Eukaryota; Euglenozoa; Kinetoplastea; Trypanosomatida; Trypanosomatidae.